RNAcentral lists this microRNA precursor (65 nucleotides) under Callithrix jacchus (white-tufted-ear marmoset). RNAcentral describes it as "microRNA cja-mir-548q precursor (cja-mir-548q-2)". Its record names the gene cja-mir-548q-2. Lineage: Eukaryota; Metazoa; Chordata; Mammalia; Primates; Cebidae. The record is from miRBase by way of RNAcentral.
GGUGCAAAAGUAUUUACGGUUUUGGCAUUACUUUCAAUGACAAAAACUGUAAUUACUUUUGUACC